AUGGCCUGGGCCUUGAUUCUCCUCACAGUUCUCAGUUACUGGUCAGGUGCCAGUUCACAACCAACCUUGACUCAGUCUCCCUCACAGUCGGUGUCUCCUGGAGAAACAGUAAAACUCUCCUGCACUGUCAGCAGUGACAAAAGCUAUAUCUGCUGGGUUCAACAGAGAUCUGGACAGAGUCCCCGUCACAUACAGUGUGCAGGUUAUAGCAGGGGAGAUGGGGUCCCGGACAGGUUCACAGCAUCUGAUUCUGGGAAUGUCGGCUCUUUAACCAUCACAAACACUCAGCCUGGAGAUGAGGCCAAUUAUUACUGUGGCAUGUGGUAUGAUAGUAGUGCGUGGAAGUGUCACAGUGGUAAAACCUAA
Molecule: non-coding RNA, 366 nt
Organism: Heteronotia binoei (common prickly gecko)
Lineage: Eukaryota; Metazoa; Chordata; Lepidosauria; Squamata; Gekkonidae
Source: the annotation of a RefSeq genome assembly